AGGUUUUUGUGGGGAGUUGUUUUGUUAUUUCUUCUGUAAAUAUUAUUACACUGUGUUUUCAAAUAUAAAAAGUGCCGAAAGUGAAAAGCGCUCGUCGCGUUCAGAGGCAUCGAGCAAUUUCCAACACUCCAAGAUUCCAGAAUGAAAACGAAAAUAUUGCUCACAGAAAGGUAGAUAACCAGUUAACUGAUCCUUUAAAUAUAGAAAAGAAACCAAGUAAAAUCAAAUCCGAAAAUCCAUCAAUAAUAUCAUCAAAAAGCACAUGUCAGGAGAAUUAGCCAUGAGAUUUACAGCUAUGAAGGGGAUAACAAGUAAAUGAAUUUUCAAGGACUUUGACAUGUGCUCUUGUAUUCUAUAUAAGAAAAUUAUUAUUACAUCGAUUAAUGAUAUGUGUAAUUACGAUUUAACUUUAACCUAAAUUGAUAA
Long non-coding RNA from Belonocnema kinseyi, 426 nucleotides. RefSeq lists it as uncharacterized. Lineage: Eukaryota; Metazoa; Arthropoda; Insecta; Hymenoptera; Cynipidae. The transcript is spliced from 3 exons. The record is from RefSeq and is a predicted model, not a curated record.